This 25-nucleotide non-coding RNA is filed under the name Cricetulus griseus (Chinese hamster). RNAcentral also lists the same sequence under 1 other name. The record is from RNAcentral. Lineage: Eukaryota; Metazoa; Chordata; Mammalia; Rodentia; Cricetidae.
AACAAAGAUUGGAGCUGAAGACCUU